This 445-nucleotide ribosomal RNA is filed under the name uncultured bacterium. RNAcentral describes it as "SSU rRNA". It matches the Rfam family "Bacterial small subunit ribosomal RNA", at positions 26 to 518 of the family's 1533-position model. The record is from RNAcentral.
AGAGCGAACGCUGGCGGCAGGCCUAAUACAUGCAAGUCGAACGGACCCUUCGGGGUUAGUGGCGGACGGGUGAGUAACACGUGGGAACGUGCCCUUUGGUUCGGAACAACUCAGGGAAACUUGAGCUAAUACCGAAUGUGCCCUUCGGGGGAAAGAUUUAUCGCCAUUGGAGCGGCCCGCGUCUGAUUAGCUAGUUGGUGGGGUAAAGGCUCACCAAGGCUACGAUCAGUAGCUGGUCUGAGAGGAUGAUCAGCCACACUGGGACUGAGACACGGCCCAGACUCCUACGGGAGGCAGCAGUAGGGAAUCUUGCGCAAUGGGCGAAAGCCUGACGCAGCCAUGCCGCGUGAAUGAUGAAGGUCUUAGGAUUGUAAAAUUCUUUCAGCGGGGACGAUAAUGACGGUACCCGCAGAAGAAGCCCGGCUAACUUCGCGCCAGCAGCCGC